RNAcentral lists this ribosomal RNA (244 nucleotides) under uncultured Staphylococcus sp. RNAcentral's name for it is "partial 16S ribosomal RNA". It matches the Rfam family "Bacterial small subunit ribosomal RNA", at positions 96 to 334 of the family's 1533-position model. Lineage: Bacteria; Bacillati; Bacillota; Bacilli; Caryophanales; Staphylococcaceae. The record is from RNAcentral.
CGGCGGACGGGUGAGUAACACGUGGAUAACCUACCUAUAAGACUGGGAUAACUUCGGGAAACCGGAGCUAAUGCCGGAUAAUAUAUUGAACCGCAUGGUUCAAUAGUGAAAGACGGUUUUGCUGUCACUUAUAGAUGGAUCCGCGCCGCAUUAGCUAGUUGGUAAGGUAACGGCUUACCAAGGCGACGAUGCGUAGCCGACCUGAGAGGGUGAUCGGCCACACUGGAACUGAGACACGGUCCAG